UUUUGAAGAAUGCUCAACAGGAUCUGGUGUCACUGUCUUGCUUCUGUUGAUUUUGGUUGCUAGGUAACGAACAGCUGUUUACAUUAUCAGCUGUUGCCGAUUUUUCUCCUCAAUAAUAACUGAACAGAAAUGUUCAGAAAAAGACAUCCGAACCUCCGUCUUGAUUGAAGAAGCUGUCACUCUGUAACAUACUGAGUGGAAUAAGUCCAUGUUAGUCAACAUGGUUGUAAUUCUCCUCAUAGCAAUCUAACAAACUCAUCCAGUCACAUAAGUUCAUUAACACAACAACAGGUGAGACCAUGAGAGUAUUCCCGUUGAAAAAGCCGUGAUGAAUUAAAAGUGGAUAAUGAUGUAAAAGA
Poecilia latipinna (sailfin molly) is the source of this 359-nucleotide long non-coding RNA. RefSeq lists it as uncharacterized. The transcript is spliced from 2 exons. The record is from RefSeq and is a predicted model, not a curated record. Lineage: Eukaryota; Metazoa; Chordata; Actinopteri; Cyprinodontiformes; Poeciliidae.